Molecule: small nucleolar RNA, 72 nt
Filed under: Choloepus hoffmanni (Hoffmann's two-fingered sloth)
Lineage: Eukaryota; Metazoa; Chordata; Mammalia; Pilosa; Megalonychidae
Description: Small nucleolar RNA SNORD112 (ENSCHOG00000016167.1)
Source: RNAcentral
UGGACCAAUGAUGAGAGUGUAUCAUGAACUAAGGAUUAUGAUUAAACCAAUUAUCUGCACAGGAGGUCGCUA